GAUGAACGCUGGCGGCGUGCCUAAUACAUGCAAGUCGAGCGAACGGACGAGAAGCUUGCUUCUCUGAUGUUAGCGGCGGACGGGUGAGUAACACGUGGAUAACCUACCUAUAAGACUGGGAUAACUUCGGGAAACCGGAGCUAAUACCGGAUAAUAUUUUGAACCGCAUGGUUCAAAAGUGAAAGACGGUCUUGCUGUCACUUAUAGAUGGAUCCGCGCUGCAUUGGCUAGUUGGUAAGGUAACGGCUUACCAAGGCAACGAUGCAUAGCCGACCUGAGAGGGUGAUCGGCCACACUGGAACUGAGACACGGUCCAGACUCCUACGGGAGGCAGCAGUAGGGAAUCUUCCGCAAUGGGCGAAAGCCUGACGGAGCAACGCCGCGUGAGUGAUGAAGGUCUUCGGAUCGUAAAACUCUGUUAUUAGGGAAGAACAUAUGUGUAAGUAACUGUGCACAUCUUGACGGUACCUAAUCAGAAAGCCACGGCUAACUACGUGCCAGCAGCCGCGGUAAUACGUAGGCGGCAAGCGUUAUCCGGAAUUAUUGGGCGUAAAGCGCGCGUAGGCGGUUUUUUAAGUCUGAUGUGAAAGCCCACGGCUCAACCGUGGAGGGUCAUUGGAAACUGGAAAACUUGAGUGCAGAAGAGGAAAGUGGAAUUCCAUGUGUAGCGGUGAAAUGCGCAGAGAUAUGGAGGAACACCAGUGGCGAAGGCGACUUUCUGGUCUGUAACUGACGCUGAUGUGCGAAAGCGUGGGGAUCAAACAGGAUUAGAUACCCUGGUAGUCCACGCCGUAAACGAUGAGUGCUAAGUGUUAGGGGGUUUCCGCCCCUUAGUGCUGCAGCUAACGCAUUAAGCACUCCGCCUGGGGAGUACGACCGCAAGGUUGAAACUCAAAGGAAUUGACGGGGACCCGCACAAGCGGUGGAGCAUGUGGUUUAAUUCGAAGCAACGCGAAGGACCUUACCAAAUCUUGACAUCCUUUGACAACUCUAGAGAUAGAGCCUUCCCCUUCGGGGGACAAAGUGACAGGUGGUGCAUGGUUGUCGUCAGCUCGUGUCGUGAGAUGUUGGGUUAAGUCCCGCAACGAGCGCAACCCUUAAGCUUAGUUGCCAUCAUUAAGUUGGGCACUCUAAGUUGACUGCCGGUGACAAACCGGAGGAAGGUGGGGAUGACGUCAAAUCAUCAUGCCCCUUAUGAUUUGGGCUACACACGUGCUACAAUGGACAAUACAAAGGGCAGCGAAACCGCGAGGUCAAGCAAAUCCCAUAAAGUUGUUCUCAGUUCGGAUUGUAGUCUGCAACUCGACUACAUGAAGCUGGAAUCGCUAGUAAUCGUAGAUCAGCAUGCUACGGUGAAUACGUUCCCGGGUCU
RNAcentral lists this ribosomal RNA (1372 nucleotides) under uncultured bacterium. RNAcentral describes it as "bacterial SSU rRNA". It matches the Rfam family "Bacterial small subunit ribosomal RNA", at positions 28 to 1381 of the family's 1533-position model. The record is from RNAcentral.